GGCUGGUCCGAGUGCAGUGGUGUUUACAACUAAUUGAUCACAACCAGUUACAGAUUUCUUUGUUUCUUCUCCACUCCCACUGCUUCACAUAACCAGCCUUAA
Molecule: Y RNA, 102 nt
Filed under: Callithrix jacchus (white-tufted-ear marmoset)
Lineage: Eukaryota; Metazoa; Chordata; Mammalia; Primates; Cebidae
Description: Y RNA (ENSCJAG00000077156.1)
Rfam family: Y RNA
About the family: Y RNAs are components of the Ro ribonucleoprotein particle (Ro RNP), in association with Ro60 and La proteins.
Source: Rfam by way of RNAcentral